Molecule: unclassified non-coding RNA, 344 nt
Filed under: soil metagenome
Description: partial contains 5.8S ribosomal RNA, internal transcribed spacer 2, and large subunit ribosomal RNA
Rfam family: 5.8S ribosomal RNA (bases 1-120)
Source: RNAcentral
GAUGAAGAACGUAGCGAAAUGCGAUAAGUAAUGCGAAUUGCAGAAUUCAGUGAAUCAUCGAGUCUUUGAACGCACAUUGCGCCCCCUGGUAUUCCGGGGGGCAUGCCUGUCCGAGCGUCAUUGCUGCCCUCAAGCACGGCUUGUGUGUUGGGCCUCCGUCCUCCUCCCGGGGGACGGGCCCGAAAGGCAGCGGCGGCACCGCGUCCGGUCCUCGAGCGUAUGGGGCUUCGUCACCCGCUCUUGUAGGCCCGGCCGGCGCUUGCCGACACAUCAAUCUUUUUUCCAGGUUGACCUCGGAUCAGGUAGGGAUACCCGCUGAACUUAAGCAUAUCAUAAGCGGAGGA